UAGCGGCGCGCUUAACACAUGCAAGUCGCACGAGAAAGGGCUUCGGCCCCGGUAAAGUGGCGCACGGGUGCGUAACACGUAGGCAAUCUUCCCUUGAGCGGGGGAUAACGUUUCGAAAGAGACGCUAAUACCGCAUAAGACCACGUCCAGUUCGCUGGAUGCGGUCAAAGCUGGCCUCUUCUUGAAAGCUAGCACUUAAGGACGAGCCUGCGGCCCAUCAUGCUAGUUGGUAGUGUAACGGACUACCAAGGCGAAGACGGGUAGCUGGUCUGAGAGGAUGAUCAGCCACACUGGAACUGAAACACGGUCCAGACUCCUACGGGAGGCAGCAGUGGGGAAUAUUGGACAAUGGGCGAAAGCCUGAUCCAGCGACGCCGCGUGAGUGAUGAAGGCCUUCGGGUUGUAAAGCUCUGUUGAGGGAGAAGAAAACAGUUAGGUCGAAUAGCCCUAGCUCUUGACGGUAUCCCUUUAGAAAGCACCGGCUAACUCUGUGCCAGCAGCCGCGGUAAGACAGAGGGUGCAAACGUUGCUCGGAAUUACUGGGCGUAAAGCGCGUGUAGGCGGACCUGUAAGUUGGACGUGAAAGCCCUGGGCUCAACCCAGGAAUUGCAUCCAAAACUACAGGCCUAGAGUGAUGGAGAGGGUAGCAGAAUUCCUGGUGUAGAGGUGAAAUUCGUAGAUAUCAGGAGGAACACCGGUGGCGAAGGCGGCUACCUGGACAUCAACUGACGCUGAGACGCGAAAGCGUGGGGAGCAAAACAGGAUUAGAUACCCUGGUAGUCCACGCCGUAAACGAUGAGUGCUGGGUGUCGUGGGUUUUGACCGCCGCGGUGCCGUAGCUAACGCGUUAAGCACUCCGCCUGGGGAGUACGGCCGCAAGGCUAAAACUCAAAGGAAUU
This 899-nucleotide ribosomal RNA is filed under the name uncultured bacterium. RNAcentral describes it as "bacterial SSU rRNA". It matches the Rfam family "Bacterial small subunit ribosomal RNA", at positions 37 to 911 of the family's 1533-position model. The record is from RNAcentral.